Molecule: ribosomal RNA, 439 nt
Filed under: uncultured Microvirga sp.
Lineage: Bacteria; Pseudomonadati; Pseudomonadota; Alphaproteobacteria; Hyphomicrobiales; Methylobacteriaceae
Description: bacterial SSU rRNA
Rfam family: Bacterial small subunit ribosomal RNA
Source: RNAcentral
UGGGGGGCCUUAACAUGGCAGGUCGAGCGGGCCCUUUCGGGGGUCAGCGGCAGACGGGUGAGUAACACGUGGGAACGUGCCCAUCGGUUCGGAACAACCCAGGGAAACUUGGGCUAAUACCGGAUACGACCGUGAGGUGAAAGAUUUAUCGCCGAUGGAUCGGCCCGCGUCUGAUUAGCUGGUUGGUGGGGUAACGGCCCACCAAGGCGACGAUCAGUAGCUGGUCUGAGAGGAUGAUCAGCCACACUGGGACUGAGACACGGCCCAGACUCCUACGGGAGGCAGCAGUGGGGAAUAUUGGACAAUGGGCGCAAGCCUGAUCCAGCCAUGCCGCGUGAGUGAUGACGGCCCUAGGGUUGUAAAGCUCUUUCGGCGGGGACGAUAAUGACGGUACCCGCAGAAGAAGCCCCGGCUAACUUCGUGCCAGCAGCCGCGGUAA